RNAcentral lists this unclassified non-coding RNA (343 nucleotides) under soil metagenome. Its description in RNAcentral is "partial contains 5.8S ribosomal RNA, internal transcribed spacer 2, and large subunit ribosomal RNA". The stretch from base 1 to 120 matches the Rfam family "5.8S ribosomal RNA", at positions 35 to 154 of the family's 154-position model. The record is from RNAcentral.
GAUGAAGAACGCAGUGAAAUGCGAUAAGUAAUGUGAAUUGCAGAGUUCAGUGAAUCAUCGAAUCUUUGAACGCACAUUGCGCCCGUCAGUAUUCUGGCGGGCAUGCCUGUCCGAGCGUCAUUUCAACCCUCAAGCCCCCGGGCUUGGUGUUGGGGAUCGGCGAGCCUCCGCGCCCGCCGUCCCCUAAAUCUAGUGGCGGUCUCGCUGUAGCUUCCUCUGCGUAGUAGCACACCUCGCACUGGGAAACAGCGCGGCCACGCCGUUAAACCCCCAACUUCUGAACGUUUGACCUCGGAUCAGGUAGGAAUACCCGCUGAACUUAAGCAUAUCAAUAAGCGGAGGA